RNAcentral lists this transfer RNA (77 nucleotides) under Elusimicrobia bacterium RIFCSPLOWO2_01_FULL_54_10. RNAcentral's name for it is "tRNA-Met". It matches the Rfam family "tRNA". Rfam says of the family: Transfer RNA (tRNA) molecules are approximately 80 nucleotides in length. Their secondary structure includes four short double-helical elements and three loops (D, anti-codon, and T loops). The record is from RNAcentral. Lineage: Bacteria; Pseudomonadati; Elusimicrobiota.
GGGCCCGUAGCUCAGUUGGUUAGAGCAGUUCCCUCAUAAGGAAUUGGUCCCAGGUUCGAGUCCUGGCGGGCCCACCA